Homo sapiens (human) is the source of this 562-nucleotide long non-coding RNA. Ensembl annotates it as long intergenic non-protein coding RNA 1569. Lineage: Eukaryota; Metazoa; Chordata; Mammalia; Primates; Hominidae. The record is from Ensembl.
ACGUCUGGCCCCGCCCCCGCGCCUGGCGCCCGCGCGCUCUCUCGCACGAUCUGCUCCCGGACUCCUUCAGCGCGCUGCCUGCCUGCCCAGGGCCUUCCCGGAGAGCAGGUGACGGCGGCCUCCGGGCAUGGAGCUCGCGCUGACGAAAGGUUCUGGAAGCCGCCGUAAAAAGUAAUCAAGAAACGGGUGACAGGACUUUUCGUAAGACAUUUAAUUUUUACCCAGAGUAUCCGAAACAUUGCCGUGUCAAUCUCAGUGCGAUGGGAGACUGCCGGCCCCAAGGAGCUGCUCGUCCUUCUGCCGAGUUCCGGCCCGGACCCGCGGAGGAGGAGACCGCCGCGCCGGAGCUCGGACCUGACGUUUUUGUGAAGCACAGGGGGCGUGGGAGGGACCGGAUCAAUGCGGCACUCAACAAAACCUGUUUUUAAAAGAGUCGUGCUGUGUCGCCCAGGCUGGAGUGCAGUGACGCGAUCUCGGCUCACUGCAGCCUCCACCUUCCGGGCUCAAGCGAGCCUCCCGCCUCAGCCUCCUGAGUAGCUGGGAUUACAGGCACACACCUCCA